GAGGUAUUCCCCGGAGAAUUCCCACGCAUGACUUUCUCUUUCACUUUUAAGGUUUAAAAACAAUGCAACUUCUAAUGGAUAGAAUAAAGCCUGAGGCUCAAGGUGUGAAGACGUUCUUUAUCCACCUGCUCACCUGUGCUGCUGAUCUUCAGAAGUUUCAUUGUCAGUUUUCUGAUCUUCAGUCCAACAUGAGCAGAGAUCAGAGAGUGAAGGAUCACAGAGUCCUGCAGCCUGAUGAGGAGGACGACCUCGACAUGAAGAUACUAUUGAUUCGUCGUCGAUUAUAUCCCUUCAAAUUGAUGAAACCACUGAAGACGACUCCCAGUCAGAAUUUGGUGAAGGAAGCAAGAGGAAAGGGCAGGAAUCCAACAGUCCUGAAGUGGCUCAGAGACAAUUCACAGUCUACAUACUUCUACAAUCUUUCAGAGAUCUUUGAUUUUUUGAAAGAAAAGAUUGAAGAGGAGGAGAAAAGGGACCACAGUAACACUGUGGACAUUAUAUUUCUGGCUCAUGGAGCCAUAGAAAAUGUGAUGAUUCCAGCCUGCUGUCUGUUGCCGUUGCCCUCCAUCACAGACGUGGUCCUGUAUUCUCCCUGGAACUGUGCCAUCUAUGCCAAUGUCUUGUACGCCCUGGCCACAGGAAGACUCAGACCCCACCACAGAGUUUUUGUCUUUAAGACAGACAAAAGCUGUAAAAUUCCUGCUCCUGACAAACUCCCCAACCAGCUGGAACUCCAUGAAGGAGGCUGGAGAACAGAUGAUCCCCAACAUCACAGUCAGUCCUCUGAGGCCCGGUGACAGAGUGUGGAAACGAUACCAAAGUCUGCAGGAAAAACACGGACCACCAGGAAGAAACCGCAUCGUGAUUCCCUUCUUCUUCCCAGAGACUAUUGGAAGCGUCCCGUUCUCUGUGGUCAGCCUCGCUCUGUCUCUGGUGCUGGACUCCUCCAGAUUCACAGCCACCGUCCACUUGGGUAGCUGCCUUGUCGACAAGUCCAGGGGUCAGAAGCUUGAUCCAGAGUACCUGAGGAGGCAGUACUCCUACGCCGAACAAGCCGACAUGAUGGUUUCAUCCAGCGUGUUCACUGAAUCACCUCUGGACCGUGUCAGACUCAAAGUUCAGGCUUUAUUCAAUGUUUCACAUCCCUGAACUAAAUAUCCACCUGUCUGCCUCAACAGCCAUAGAUCGUUAAUAUAAUGGACAGACCUUUCUUGACGUCACCCAUUGCGUUCCCAAAUGCCGUUCUGCAGACUUCAGCGAGUCCAGCAGGACGUCUCCAUAUUGAACAUUUGAAACCGGAUGUAAAUGUGAUUGGUCCAGCCCGUCACGUGACCGGAUCACGUGGGCAGA
This is a long non-coding RNA of Salarias fasciatus (jewelled blenny), 1350 nucleotides long. RefSeq lists it as uncharacterized. The transcript has 3 exons. The record is from RefSeq and is a predicted model, not a curated record. NCBI's taxonomy places the organism in Eukaryota, Metazoa, Chordata, Actinopteri, Blenniiformes, Blenniidae.